GAUGAAGAACGCAGCAAAAUGCGAUAAGUAGUGUGAAUUGCAGAAUUCAGUGAAUCAUCGAAUCUUUGAACGCACAUUGCGCCCCUUGGUAUUCCGAGGGGCAUGCCUGUUCGAGCGUCAUUAUAACCCCUCAAGCUCAGCUUGGUGUUGGGGCCUGCUGCACUGGCAGCCCUUAAAAUCAGUGGCGGCGCCAUCUGGCUCUAAGCGUAGUAAUUCUUCUCGCUAUGGAGUCCUGGUGGAUGCUUGCCAUCAACCCCCAAUUUUUCUAUGGUUGACCUCGGAUCAGGUAGGGAUACCCGCUGAACUUAAGCAUAUCAAUAGCGGAGGA
RNAcentral lists this unclassified non-coding RNA (328 nucleotides) under soil metagenome. RNAcentral describes it as "partial contains 5.8S ribosomal RNA, internal transcribed spacer 2, and large subunit ribosomal RNA". The stretch from base 1 to 120 matches the Rfam family "5.8S ribosomal RNA", at positions 35 to 154 of the family's 154-position model. The record is from RNAcentral.